AAGAUUUUAAGUUAAAAUUUAAACUGUUAACCUUCAAAGUUAUUAAUGCCUUAUGUAAGUCUUA
This 64-nucleotide transfer RNA is filed under the name Petalocephala ochracea. RNAcentral's name for it is "tRNA-Trp". The record is from RNAcentral. Lineage: Eukaryota; Metazoa; Arthropoda; Insecta; Hemiptera; Cicadellidae.